UCCAGACUCCUACGGGAGGCAGCAGUGAGGAAUGUUGGUCAAUGGGCUUACGCCUGAACCAGCCAAGUCGCGUGAGGGAAGACUGCCCUAUGGGUUGUAAACCUCUUUUGUCAGGGAGCAACGCCGGCUACGUGUAGCCGGACUGAGAGUACCUGAAGAAAAAGCAUCGGCUAACUCCGUGCCAGCAGCCGCGGUAAUACGGAGGAUGCGAGCGUUAUCCGGAUUUAUUGGGUUUAAAGGGUGCGUAGGCGGAAUGCCAAGUCAGGGGUAAAAUCGCGGGGCUCAACCUCGCUCCGCCGUUGAAACUGGUUUUCUAGAGUUGGAGAGAAGUAUGCGGAAUUCGUGGUGUAGCGGUGAAAUGCAUAGAUAUCACGAAGAACUCCGAUUGCGAAGGCAGCAUACCGGCUCCAUACUGACGCUGAGGCACGAAAGCGUGGGGAUCGAACAGGAUUAGAUACCCGCGUACA
This 467-nucleotide ribosomal RNA is filed under the name uncultured bacterium. Its description in RNAcentral is "bacterial SSU rRNA". It matches the Rfam family "Bacterial small subunit ribosomal RNA", at positions 330 to 794 of the family's 1533-position model. The record is from RNAcentral.